RNAcentral lists this long non-coding RNA (5078 nucleotides) under Populus tremula. RNAcentral's name for it is "long non-coding RNA (PTRE_LNC001288)". The record is from RNAcentral. Lineage: Eukaryota; Viridiplantae; Streptophyta; Magnoliopsida; Malpighiales; Salicaceae.
GGAAGCUUGAUGCUGUUUAUCUGGGAAAAGAUUGACAAGGCAAAGGCAGAUGCUUUUGGGCCAGCAGUGGCUUCUGGUUUGAUUUGCGGGGAUGGGAUAUGGACUUUGCCUAGUGCGAUACUUGCUCUAGUAGGAGUAAAACCUCCCAUUUGCAUGAAGUUUUUGUCAAGGAGAACAAAUGCUAAGGUCGAUGCGUUCUUAGGGUCAUAAAGUCGAAGUUGAGAUCAACUUGAAUAGAAACUGUUAAGUAAAGCUGAAUUGCUUCCUAGACUAAGGUUAUGAAGUUUACAUGUGAAGUUCGACUCAAAAAUGCUGUGGAUAAUCAAUCACCUGCAAUUUCGUGGAGCCAACCACUAUUUUCGCUAUAAUCUUUUCUGGAGAAGAAAAUCAAAUGUCCAUUUACUUACAUAUGUUUGUAGUUUUUUUCUAGUCUAGUUUGAAGAAGAUAGUAGAACAGAUGCAUCAAGCAAUGUGAAAAGUGAAAAUUACAGUACCCUUUGUGAGCUGUUAUGAUCAGUUGCUAUAUUUGGUAUCAGUUUGCUCAUUUUGCUAGCUAUCAUAUAUCAGGUGGUCCGAUGUGGCAUUGGAAUGGCCUUCUAGUUGUUAGCAGUCUCACAAUAAAAUCAUGCCAGACUUAGUCAUCCAACACGAGAAAAAAAAAAAGAUGGAAAAAAUAUCAGAUGCGUCGAGGAAGACGAUAAAAGCUUCAGCGAAUGAGACUUGUAACAAAUAUUUUACCUAGGUGUUUCCUAAUAAUAUGAAAAGAAGCUGAAAAAUAGAUAAGCAUUCCCGUAGUGAUCUUAAUGGCAUCUAAGCCCAGAGUGAGUGAAGUACAUAAAGAGUGCAACUAUAUUCAUAGUUAAUUAUCAUAGAAUCCUCAACUCUCCAUCUUGCUGUUGUUAUGAUUUGUUUAUAACUCAUCUUCAAUCUCAUGCUUUGUAAGGCAAGAUCCUGCAUUGUUUUUUAGAGAUAAGUUUAAAUUAAAUAACGUUAUAUUUUAUAUAUAUAAUAUAAAGAUUACAAACUCAAUCAUUUGGAUUAUUUUGUGACUGUAGUGUGUUUAAAAAUAUAACAGUAAGUAAUUCCUGUUCUAGAAAAUUUUAAAAUAAUAUAUUUUUUUUAUUUUAAAAAAUGUAUUUUUCAUAUUAGUAUAUUAAAAUAAUUAAAAAAUAUUAAAUAAAAAGUAAUUUAAAACACAGACAGGUUAAAACUCACUGCAACGACCCGUUUUAACUCCUCCUCAUGUUCGUCUUCAAUUCGGAUGUGUUGAGCAAUAAUCACAGCCACUUAUUAAACACGCUCCCAACUCUCUUCGUCUCCAUAAAGAAUCAUUCUUUUAAGAAAAUAAAAUGGAACGUAAUGAAAGAGACGACACCAAGGUAGAGAAUGAUUAUGAUUUGGAGGAUGAUCAUGGUCACAGAAAGAAGGACAAGAAAGAGGAACAAGAAGAAGAGUUGUCAGUGGAAAGAAUAUUUGAGAACCAAGAAGUGCCAUCAUUGGAGGAAUCAGCUGACACUGAGGGCCUUUGUGGUGAGCUUCGUGUUGAGCAUUUUAUUCAGCGUCAUAGUAAUGAAGCUCAAUCUUACAACUGGUAUCAUACCUUCCCUCAAUGUCUCUGCUGGCCUUCUGGGCUUCUUUUUUAUCAAGACCUGGACAAAGUUUCUUGAAAAGUCUGGACUUUUGAAGCAACCCUUUACGAGGCAAGAGAACACUGUAAUACAGACUUGCGUGGUUGCCUCAUCUGGCAUUGCCUUUAGUGGUAUACUUUCUGUACUGUUUACUAUCAUUAAUUUUCAUUUCAUCUCUCUUAAUUAUUUUGAAAUUCAAUUUUUUUUUCUCUUUUCUUUCGAAGUUGAGGAGAUAUCUAGGUUUCUUUUAUCAAGAUAUUAAUAUUUCUGUGCAUUUGGUUUUGUUUCUGUUCUUAAAGGUUGCAAACUUACAAUAGUUACUAAAAUUCGAUGUCAAGAUUUCCAUCUUCUAAUUGCUAGAUUACCUGAUGAGGCAACCACUUUUACUAGAGUAAUCAACACUUAAACUUACCAUUAGAGACAUGAACAAAUCUAUCUCUGUCUCCUGGAGUGUGAUAAUGUUAGGGGUGCAGCUGGUAUGUCACUUGACAGAUACUUUUUUGACAGUUCAAUUCAUAUGCGCUGGAUGUGGAUGACUUCCUAAGUUCAGAUUUAUAUCAGCAAGUCUUAUAACAAUAUUCUGAUUUGUGGAAAAAGAAGUCUUCUCCAUUAGUAAAAGAAAGGAAAAUGUGAAUAAUAUAUGUUUCUAGAAUGCUAGUUGUGAGCUUGCGUUAUUAAUCAAACAUCUUCUCAAACUGUGAAUCAUUAACAUAAUGUCAAGAUGAAUACAUUAUAUUUCUAACUCGUCCAAAUAGUCAAGAAAAGCCUGAUUACUUGCCAAACUUGUUUCGAAACUGAAUUAAUUAUUGUCAUGAAACGGUUAAUUUGUGAUUAUGCUUAUGAUGAUAUUAAACUUGUUGAUUUUUGUACUAAUGGUUUCCAUUCUAUAAUUUUUUCCUUGUUUCCUUAUAAUAGGAGGCUUUGGGAGUUAUCUGUUUGGAAUGAGUGAAACUGUGGCCAAACAAUUAACUGAAGAUAGUGAUGCCUUUAAAAAUCCAUCUCUGUCUUGGAUGAUUGGCUUUUUGUUUGUCGUUAGCUUUCUUGGGCUCUUUUCGGCGGUGCCUCUACGAAAGGUAGACUUUACAACUUAUAUCAGCAUUCAAUUUCUUUAUAUGAUUAUAGAAAAUAGAAAACUUUUUUUUGCAUUUUACAUUUUUGCCGAAUGUAUAGAUUUUCCAAAAAUUAAUCCUCAUUGUUACCCUGGUUAUUUCCAGGUCAUGAUUAUAGACUUCAAAUUGACAUAUCCAAGUGGCACUGCAACUGCUCAUCUCAUCAACAGCUUCCACACUCCUGCAGGAGCCAAGCUAGCAAAGUAAGGCGUUAUCAGACCUCAUGCACUUAUAGUUGGAUGAUCAUUUGACAUGUAAGAGUAUUGAACUUUGUUAUUCUACUGUUACAGGAAACAAGUGAGAGUGUUGGGCAAGUUCUUCUCAUUCAGCUUCUUGUGGGGUUUCUUUCAAUGGUUCUACACUGCAGGAGAUGGUUGUGGAUUUGCUGAGUUCCCCUCGCUUGGUCUUAAAGCACAUGAAAACAAGUAAAAGCAUUACUCAACCUUCCAAAAUCCUCUCUUCUUGUUGAAUGUAGUUCCAUUUACUAUGGCAUUCUGUUUCAAAUUCGUUGUGGUAUCUUUGACUAAUAAUGUUCUUGUUACAUGUACAGAUUUUUCUUUGAUUUCUCAGCAACAUAUGUUGGAGUUGGAAUGAUUUGCCCCUACAUCAUAAACAUAUCAGUUUUGCUUGGAGGAAUUCUUUCCUGGGGUCUCAUGUGGCCUCUCAUAGAUACAAAAAAGGGUGACUGGUAUCCAGCAGACCUCAAACCAGGCAGCUUGCAUGGCCUCCAAGGUUACAAGGUAAGUUUUCUAACAAGGUUAAGGUGACAAGAAUGCCAAUUACAUGAUUUUUAACAUUUUCUUGAAGCCUUUUCUUUCAUACCAACACUUAAGCAAUGAACACAGGUAUUUAUUGCCACUGCCCUGAUCUUGGGUGACGGUCUAUACAACUUCUUCAAGGUUCUAAGCCGAACACUCGCUGCAUUGUUUUUUCAACUUCGUGGGAGAGAUGCAACUGGUGCUCUGCCUAUUGCUGACCGUUCCUCUCCCAAGACAUCCAGGAUCUCCUAUGAUGAGCAACGUCGCACCCAACUCUUUCUCAAAGAUCAAAUUCCAACAUGGUUUGCUUUUGCAGGUUAUGUCACAAUUGCUGCCAUUUCUACAACCACCGUUCCGCAUAUAUUUCCCGAACUAAAAUGGUAUUACAUAUUGGUUAUCUACAUCUUUGCCCCAGCCCUUGCAUUCUGUAAUGCUUAUGGUUGUGGACUCACUGAUUGGUCCCUUGCUUCCACCUAUGGGACGCUUGCUAUUUUUGUAAUUGGGGCGUGGGCUGGUGCCUCUCAUGGUGGAGUUCUUGCAGGACUAGCGGCCUGUGGAGUCAUGAUGAAUAUUGUCUCCACAGCCUCUGAUCUAUCUCAAGAUUUCAAGACUGGUUAUUUGACCCUUUCUUCACCUCGGUCCAUGUUUGUGAGCCAGCUAAUUGGCACUGCAAUGGGUUGCAUGAUUUCCCCGUGUGUAUUUUGGCUUUUUUUUAAGGCCUUCAAGGAUCUGGGGACUCCUGGAAGUCAAUACCCUGCUCCUUAUGCUACUGUAUUUCGAAACAUGGCUAUAUUGGGGGUAGAAGGAUUCUCCUCUCUCCCAAAGAAUUGUCUCUAUCUUUGUUAUUGGUUCUUCGGUGCAGCAAUUCUGAUAAAUUUGAUCAAGGAUGUGUUGGGUAAGAAACGGGCUAGGUUCAUUCCCAAUCCAAUGGCAAUGGCUAUACCUUUCUAUAUUGGCUCAUACUUUGCCAUCGACAUGUGCGUGGGAAGCUUGAUUCUAUUUAUCUGGGAAAAUAUUGACAAGGCAAAGGCAGAUGCUUUUGGGCCAGCAGUGGCUUCUGGUUUGAUUUGUGGGGACGGGAUAUGGACUUUGCCUAGUUCGAUACUUGCUCUAGCAGGAGUAAAACCUCCCAUUUGCAUGAAGUUUUUGUCAAGGAGAACAAAUUCUAAGGUCGAUGCGUUCUUGGGGUCAUAAAUUUGAAGUUCAGAUCAACUUCAAAAGAAACUGUGAGUUAGAGCUGAAUUGCUUCCCAGACUAAGGUUAUGAAGUUUACAUAUGAAGUUCGACUAAAAAAUGCUGUAGAUAAUCACCUGCUAUUUGUGGAGUCAGCAACUAGUUUCUCUAUAAUCAUUUCUGGAGAAGAAAAUCAAAUGUCCAUUUACUUAUAUAUGCUUGUUAGUCGAUCCUUGGAAAUAUGCUUGUAGUUUUUUUCUUGUCUAUUUUGAAGAAGAUAGUGGAACAGAUGCAUCAAACAAUGUGCAAACGGAAAAUCACUGUACCCUCUGUGAACUUUAAACAUAAUAUCAAAAGUGAAUGUGCAAAUAUUACAGGUUGCAGGCAUGUUUAUUUUGAACAUAUUGCAA